RNAcentral lists this ribosomal RNA (1346 nucleotides) under uncultured bacterium. RNAcentral describes it as "partial 16S ribosomal RNA". It matches the Rfam family "Bacterial small subunit ribosomal RNA", at positions 28 to 1381 of the family's 1533-position model. The record is from RNAcentral.
GACGAACGCUGUCGGCGUGCUUAACACAUGCAAGUCGAACGGAAAGGCCCUGCUUUUGUGGGGUGCUCGAGUGGCGAACGGGUGAGUAACACGUGAGUAACCUGCCCUUGACUUUGGGAUAACUUCAGGAAACUGGGGCUAAUACCGGAUAGGAGCUCCUGCUGCAUGGUGGGGGUUGGAAAGUUUCGGCGGUUGGGGAUGGACUCGCGGCUUAUCAGCUUGUUGGUGGGGUAGUGGCUUACCAAGGCUUUGACGGGUAGCCGGCCUGAGAGGGUGACCGGCCACAUUGGGACUGAGAUACGGCCCAGACUCCUACGGGAGGCAGCAGUGGGGAAUAUUGCACAAUGGGCGGAAGCCUGAUGCAGCAACGCCGCGUGCGGGAUGACGGCCUUCGGGUUGUAAACCGCUUUCGCCUGUGACGAAGCGUGAGUGACGGUAAUGGGUAAAGAAGCACCGGCUAACUACGUGCCAGCAGCCGCGGUGAUACGUAGGGUGCGAGCGUUGUCCGGAUUUAUUGGGCGUAAAGGGCUCGUAGGUGGUUGAUCGCGUCGGAAGUGUAAUCUUGGGGCUUAACCCUGAGCGUGCUUUCGAUACGGGUUGACUUGAGGAAGGUAGGGGAGAAUGGAAUUCCUGGUGGAGCGGUGGAAUGCGCAGAUAUCAGGAGGAACACCAGUGGCGAAGGCGGUUCUCUGGGCCUUUCCUGACGCUGAGGAGCGAAAGCGUGGGGAGCGAACAGGCUUAGAUACCCUGGUAGUCCACGCUGUAAACGGUGGGUACUAGGUGUGGGGUCCAUUCCACGGGUUCCGUGCCGUAGCUAACGCUUUAAGUACCCCGCCUGGGGAGUACGGCCGCGAGGCUAAAACUCAAAGGAAUUGACGGGGCCCCGCACAAGCGGCGGAGCAUGCGGAUUAAUUCGAUGCAACGCGUAGAACCUUACCUGGGUUUGACAUGGAUCGGGAGUGCUCAGAGAUGGGUGUGCCUCUUUUGGGGUCGGUUCACAGGUGGUGCAUGGCUGUCGUCAGCUCGUGUCGUGAGAUGUUGGGUUAAGUCCCGCAACGAGCGCAACCCUUGUUCACUGUUGCCAGCACGUUAUGGUGGGGACUCAGUGGAGACCGCCGGGGUCAACUCGGAGGAAGGUGGGGAUGACGUCAAGUCAUCAUGCCCCUUAUGUCCAGGGCUUCACGCAUGCUACAAUGGCUGGUACAGAGAGUGGCGAGCCUGUGAGGGUGAGCGAAUCUCGGAAAGCCGGUCUCAGUUCGGAUUGGGGUCUGCAACUCGACCUCAUGAAGUCGGAGUCGCUAGUAAUCGCAGAUCAGCAACGCUGCGGUGAAUACGUUCCCGGGGCU